Molecule: transfer RNA, 77 nt
Filed under: Deltaproteobacteria bacterium
Lineage: Bacteria; Pseudomonadati; Myxococcota; Myxococcia
Description: tRNA-Arg
Rfam family: tRNA
About the family: Transfer RNA (tRNA) molecules are approximately 80 nucleotides in length. Their secondary structure includes four short double-helical elements and three loops (D, anti-codon, and T loops).
Source: RNAcentral
GCCCCGGUAGCUCAGCUGGAUAGAGCAGUCGCCUUCUAAGCGACGGGUCACAGGUUCAAGUCCUGUCCGGGGUGCCA